RNAcentral lists this long non-coding RNA (1641 nucleotides) under Theobroma cacao (cacao). Its description in RNAcentral is "long non-coding RNA (TCAC_LNC004307)". The record is from RNAcentral. Lineage: Eukaryota; Viridiplantae; Streptophyta; Magnoliopsida; Malvales; Malvaceae.
UUUGAAUAUAAUAAAAAUAUUCAAUAAAAUAAACUAUUUUCUUGUAAAAUAAUUUUUAUAAAGCUAUCGGUAAAUAAUUCUUAUAGCGUAAAAGUUAAUUAUAUUCAUAUAUACUAUAAAGAAAAUAACCAAAGCAUAAAAUUACUUUUACAGCGACACGUGGGCCCACAUCUAACCAAAAUGUAUCGAAAGCUGAAAACCUACAGCUUUUGCCGAUUCAAGUCCAAAUGAAGGUCCUUGUCAAAGUCAGCUAACUAUGGAAUUCCUCGAGUCUAAAAUGUGAUGAAAUGAGGGUGGUGAGAUUAUAAAAUCCCAGUGAGUAAACAUACACCAUCUAAACUAUCUAAAGGCGAGUAAAUGGAAACGAAUUAAAAUAAGUUAUCAUACUGUAAUUCAUUACCAUUCAACUCAUUUCAACCAAAUAAACAAAUAGGCUUAUGAUUUCCUGAAAAGCUUGGCUCGUGCUAAAAAUCAUUCUCAUACUCAGUUAUCAAGGAUACCUUGAUCGAGGGUUAUCCCAACCGAGUUAGCCAAGGCUGUUAAAUGUCUUUACAUCUGAAAUUUUAGCCAUGUCUUGGCGUUGGCUGAGUCUCACUCUCACGCGGUGGUCCACAUGAAGUGCACUCAAAUCUUUACCUCAGGAGAUACUUCAUCCAACAUCUCCUCCCGAAGGUAAAUAUAUAAUUGAGUUACCGUGCCCCUUUCAAUUAAUGUCAAGCAUUGAGGAAAAACACACCUCUCCAACAGUUGUUGUCACGACUCGGAACUCCCAUCGAGCCCGUGACAAUCGCCGCGAAGCCUCGACAAACAUUCUUCACCCCGAAUGUCGAUCGAAACCUCGCUAGGCUCUCAUAUCAGCUUUCGCACUUCCUUGGUGAGCAAUAGUUAUCAAAUAUCGUAAUUCGAAAGAUUAUGAGUCAUUUCCAAAUCAGAACAUAACAUAUUGUUUUCUGGCUCACAGCGGUAUUUUCGUCAUUUUUCAUCGAAAAUCUUAAAACUUACUAAAAAUGUUGUAGGUAAGCAGAAAAUAUAUAUUUAGUGAUUUAAAAACAAAUUAAGUAUAUAAAACAUUCAUUUGAAGUGAAAAUUUGACCAUUUGAAUAUAAUAAAAAUAUUCAAUAAAAUAAACUAUUUUCUUGUAAAAUAAUUUUUAUAAAGCUAUCGGUAAAUAAUUCUUAUAGCGUAAAAGUUAAUUAUAUUCAUAUAUACUAUAAAGAAAAUAACCAAAGCAUAAAAUUAUUUUUACAGCGACACGUGGGCCCACAUCUAACCAAAAUGUAUCGAAAGUUGAAAACCUACAGCUUUUGCCGAUUCAAGUCCAAAUGAAGGUCCUUGUCAAAGUCAGCUAACUAUGGAAUUCCUCGAGUCUAAAAUGUGAGGAAAUGAGGGUGGUGAGAUUAUAAAAUCCCAGUGAGUAAACAGACACCAUCUAAACUAUCUAAAAGCGAGUAAAUAGAGACGAAUUAAAAUAAGUCAUCAUACUGUAAUUUCAUUACCAUUCAACUCAUUUCAACCAAAUAAACAAAUAGGCUUAUGAUUUCCUGAAAAGCUUGGCUCGUGCCAAAAAUCAUUCUCAUACUCAGUUAUCAGGGAUACCUUGAUCGAGGGUUAUCCCAACCGAGUCCGCCAAGGCUAUUAAAU